Molecule: ribosomal RNA, 424 nt
Filed under: uncultured bacterium
Lineage: Bacteria
Description: bacterial SSU rRNA
Rfam family: Bacterial small subunit ribosomal RNA
Source: RNAcentral
UGGGGAAUUUUGGACAAUGGGGGCAACCCUGAUCCAGCAAUGCCGCGUGAGUGAAGAAGGCCUUCGGGUUGUAAAGCUCUUUUGUCAGGGAAGAAACGGUGAGGGCUAAUAUCCUUUGCUAAUGACGGUACCUGAAGAAUAAGCACCGGCUAACUACGUGCCAGCAGCCGCGGUAAUACGUAGGGUGCAAGCGUUAAUCGGAAUUACUGGGCGUAAAGCGUGCGCAGGCGGUUAUACAAGACAGAUGUGAAAUCCCCGGGCUCAACCUGGGAAUUGCAUUUGUGACUGGAUGGCUAGAGUGUGUCAAGGGGGGGUAGAAUUCCACGUGUAGCAGUGAAAUUCGGAGGUGUGUUAACGGAUACCGAUGUCGGAGGCAGCCCCCUGGGAUAACACUGACGUUCAUGCACGAGGGCGUGGGGAACAA